AAAGGGCUUCGCACAGGCCGGGCGGCGCGGGUGAGCGGAGGCGGCAGGAAGGGCCUUAAGCCGCUGGCCUUGCCCCGCCGGCUGCCUCCCCUCCCCCGCCACCCGGCCUGCGCAGCGCGCGGCGCCUACGGCAACGCGCCCCCCGGGCUGCCGUUCGUUAACCCCUUACGAGCCGUUCGCGGGCCCCGCCUGAGGGGCUCCCCGGCCCUCGCCCUCCCCGCCGGGUCGUCCCGCCCGACGCGGCAGCCGGCCUGGGACGGGCUCCUGCGAAGUGGCCUUGUUGUCAGAGGUUCCGCGCACCUGUCGCUACUGCUGAAGGCCGCGCGGAGGGACCAGGCGGGAAGAGGGGCCUCUCAUUAAAAACCAGUAAAAGGAAGUAUUUCUUCACACAACGCAGAGUCAACCUGUGGAACUCCUUGCCUGAGGAUGUGGUGAAGGCCAACAGCGUUCAAAAAAGAACUAGAUAAUUUCAUGGAGGAUAGGUCCAUCAAUGGCUAUUAGCCAGGAUGGGCAGGGAUGGUGUCCCUAGCCUCUGUUUGCCAGAAGCUGGGAAUAAGCAACAGGAGAUGGAUCACUUGCUGAUUACCUGUUCUGUUCAUUACCUCUGGGGCACCUGGCACUGGCCACUGUCAGACAGGAUACUGGGCUAGAUGGACCUUUGGUCUGACCCAGUAUGGCCAUUAUUCUGUUCCUGUCUGGAGGUGGGGAGUCUUCCCUGCUUGAUUUGGACAGAAGCUCAUUCCACUUUGGGUCCUCUCCAUCUCCUGCUUCCCAUCAAAUUUAAUACAGUAGAACCUCCGAGUUAAACUGACCAGUCAACCCCACACCUCAUUUGGAACCAAAAGUAUGGAAUCAGACAGCAGCAGAGACCCCAAAAAAAGCAAAUACAGUCCAGUACUGUUAAAUGUAAACUAUUUUUUAAAAAGGGAAAGCAGCAUUUUUCUUCUGCAUAGUAAGGUUUCAAAGCUGUAUUUAAUGUUCAGUUGUAAACUUUUGAAAGAAUAACUAUAAUCUUUUGUCAGUUACGAACAAUUUCCAUUCCCAAGGUGGUCCUAACGCAGAGGUUCUGCUGUAAGUAGAUGACCACCUGUCAGCAAAACGUUGAAAAUUGCUCUUCCUGGCUGAAUUCCCCUAGGUCUGCAGUGCCUAAGCUGACCCUUCAAGCAUGGCAUACACAUUAUGUGGGAGCUCUGCCCGGUUUUUUUUUUCCUUGUGCACAAUGCAUGUGCUUUUAUUAGUCUCAGUUUUCAAUACAAGUCUCUGUUCAGGUAAUGCCUUUCAAAAGGCUUACCAAGCUGGUUAAGUACUACAAAGGCACUGAUUUGUUAUGCAGCCUUUCUUCAGAAAUUAAGGGCCCCCUCCUUUGUGAAGGGCUCUUAUUGUUCAGCACAAGUGUUCUGCGUUAUUCAUCUGAGUCUAAGUGAAAUUCAGGAGCCAAAAAUCUCUGCAUGCUUAAUCAUCUUGUUCACAGAAUUUGGGCUUUACCACCAAUCCUGGAUUAGAACAGAUUAAACUCAGUCCCAUGGGUCCUUUUAGGAUAUAUUACUGGGUGAUUUGGCUGUCAGCACCUUAAAACCAGGGAUGUUGUACAGACACAUGGAGAGUGGCCUCUCAGGCCUUAGGGACAGCAUGUCUGCAGCCCGUCCUCCUUAAAGAGAAACACAUGUUCAGAGUAUAUGCCUGCCAGCACUUUGCUAGUGGCCAGUUUUAGCCUAUGGUUCCUUGUGGUCUUGUACAGCUGUACAAAUACACUUUUGUCCACAUGCUGACUAUGAGGAGCUAGCUGAGCUAUCUUGUCUUCUCUUUCAUGGGACUGGUGGCUAUAGAGUUUUUUUUUUUUGGGGGGGGGGGGGUUGUUUUUGCUUGCAGAGUACAUGCAAAGCUGGUCAAACCCAUACCUUGUUGGCAAGUUUAUUGUGCACUUUUGCUUGGUUUUAAGCUUCUUAAGAUCACUAUCACCGCAAGAAGCUUGGCCUCAAUCAAUUUGAUUUGCUUUCAGUUGAAUGUGCCCUCCUAAAUAUUGUUCUACAUUGACAGGACAUAAGGAAUGAAGGGGAAAGGCACUUCAGUGAAGAAGCAUUGAAGAUUACAAACUCUCAGUGAAAAGUGCAGUACACACUCAUGUUGCAUACGUUUUUGCUCCCCCAUUCCUAGGUUAGUUGAAUGAAUUUCCGGUGUGUCUGAUGCAAUACAAUAUGGCAUUCAUGUGAGCCGUAACAAAUGCACAGAAAGACUGUCUGCUUCCUGGACUGUAAUAUUGGGGAAGGGAAAGGAUAAAGGACCGUGUUGUUAAAGGGGUAAAGAUAUUGUUACUGCUUUUUGACCCAGGUGUUUAGCCACUAUUCAGGGUCUUGUGGGUUGUUUCCAUUAGGAAGAGAAAUUGAUGAUAGACUUAGGUAUUUCGAGUCAUAGACUUCAAGGACAGAAGGGACUAACAUCAUCUAGUUUGACCUUUUGAGCGUUUCAGGCUACAGAAUCUUGCCUAUCCACUCAUGAAUUAGACCCAUAACUUCUGGCUGAGUUACUGAAGCCCUCCAAUCGUGAUUUAAACAUUUCAAGUUACAAAGAAUCCACCAUUUACACUAGUUUAAACCUGCAAGUAACCCGUGCUCCAUGCUGCAAAGGAAGGGAAAAAAGCUCCAGGGUCUAUGUCAAUCUGACCCAGGGGAAAAUUCCUCUCUAACCCAAAUACAGCAGUCAAUUGGACCCUGAGCAGUUCAGCAAGACCCACCAGCCAGACUCCUGGGAAAGAAUUCUCUGUAGUAACUCAGAACCCUUUCCAUCUAAUGUCCUAUUAUCAGCCAUUGGGGAUGUUUGCUACUCGCAGUCGCAGGUUGCCUAUAUGCCAUUGCAGGCAAUCUCAUCAUACUAUCCCCUUCAGAAACUUACCAAGCUCAGUCUUGAAGAUAGUGAGGUUUUUUUGUCCCUGCUGCUCACUUGGAAGGCUGUUGCAGAACUUCACUCCUUUGAUGGUUAGAAACCUACAUCUAACUUCAAACCUAAACUUGUUGAUGGCCAGUUCAUAUCUUGUGUCUAUGUUGGUCCUUAAUUUAAAUAACUACUCUCCCUCCCUGGUAUUUAUCCCUCUGCUAUAUUUAUAGAAAGCAAUCAUAUCUUCCUCUCAGCCUUCAUUUGGUUAGGCAAAACAAAACAAGCACUUUGAGUCUCCCCUCAUAAGCUAGGUUUUCCAUUCCUCUGAUCAUCCUAGUAGCUCUUCUCUGCACCUGUUGCAGUUUCUUAAACACAGGAGACCAGAAUUGCUCACCAUAUUCCAAAUAAGUUCUCACCAGUGCCUUGUAUCAUGGCAAUAACACUUCCCUAUCUCUACUGGAAAUACCUCACUUGAUGCAUCCUAGGAUUGCAUUAGCCUUUUUCACAGCCACAUCACAAUACCACUGAAAGAUACAUACAAUCGGCCCAAUAUAGCACUGUAUAGUUACACCCAAUGUAACACUUUUGGGAUUUGUAAGUGAAGACUCCUUAAAUAAAUAAAACUCUUGAUUGAUUUAGAAUUGCUGUGGUACAUGAAGCCUGUUUUUUAUAUUUUCAUCUGUGCAGUAACUUUUUAACAUACAAGCAAGAUGGUUCCAUAUAUAUCAUUGUGUGUCUACAUAAAGUGAUAAUGCUGUUUCCCUUCAUGUUCUGUUAUGAAUCUGGAAUUCUACCUAUUAAAACAGCCUACAGAUACAAUAAACAAGAAA
This is a long non-coding RNA of Chelonia mydas (Green sea turtle), 3701 nucleotides long. RefSeq lists it as uncharacterized. Lineage: Eukaryota; Metazoa; Chordata; Testudines; Cheloniidae. The record is from RefSeq and is a predicted model, not a curated record. The transcript is spliced from 2 exons.